Molecule: ribosomal RNA, 253 nt
Filed under: uncultured bacterium
Lineage: Bacteria
Description: partial 16S ribosomal RNA
Rfam family: Bacterial small subunit ribosomal RNA
Source: RNAcentral
UACGUAGGGUGCGAGCGUUGUCCGGAAUUACUGGGCGUAAAGAGCUCGUAGGCGGUCUGUCGCGUCCGUUGUGAAAACUCGAGGCUCAACCUCGGGCUUGCAGUGGAUACGGGCAGACUAGAGUGCGGUAGGGGAGACUGGAAUUCCUGGUGUAGCGGUGGAAUGCGCAGAUAUCAGGAGGAACACCGAUGGCGAAGGCAGGUCUCUGGGCCGCAACUGACGCUGAGGAGCGAAAGCAUGGGGAGCGAACAGG